This 305-nucleotide ribosomal RNA is filed under the name uncultured bacterium. RNAcentral's name for it is "bacterial SSU rRNA". It matches the Rfam family "Bacterial small subunit ribosomal RNA", at positions 337 to 640 of the family's 1533-position model. The record is from RNAcentral.
GCCUACGGGGGGCAGCAGUGAGGAAUAUUGGUCAAUGGGCGCGAGCCUGAACCAGCCAAGCCGCGUGAGGGAAGACGGUCCUAUGGAUUGUAAACCUCUUUUGUCGGGGAGCAAAAGACGCCACGCGUGGCGUUCCGAGAGUACCCGAAGAAAAAGCAUCGGCUAACUCUGUGCCAGCAGCCGCGGUAAUACGGAGGAUGCGAGCGUUAUCCGGAUUUAUUGGGUUUAAAGGGUGCGCAGGCGGAAGAUCAAGUCAGCGGUAAAAUUGAGAGGCUCAACCUCUUAGAGCCGUUGAAACUGGUUUU